GGGGCGGAGGCGGAGGCGGGAAAGGGAGCGGGAGCGGGGCGGGACGCUCACCUGCACGCACGCGCGGCGGGCUCGGAGGGCGCUCACCUGAGCGCGCGCGCCGGUAGGGGGCGCGGCUGUGCGUGGCGGGCGUGCAGGCGCGCGGGGAGCGUGUGCGGGGCUGAGGGCCCGGGAAGGGGGUGACUCGCUGCUCUGCGCCCCGCUCAGCGGAUACCCCUGCGCCCGCCGCGCCUAGUCUUGCCGGACGCGUCCUUUCCGUGACCCCGGAAGGAACCCUCGGACGGACGUUAUGCAUAUGAUGAAAGAUUCCAAGGGCAGGAACCCUUUUCUGAUGAAACCCCUGAAUGUUCAGCCAAAAUAAAGAGCACCAAUAGCUGAUGGCCAAAGAAUGGAAGGGGUGUGUUCAAGAGAAAUUUCCUGAAAGCAUUUGCAGUCGACCAAUCCAGAAGAGCAUCGAAGUUUGUAGAACCUGAGCCCCUAUCAAGAGCCAGUGAUAAAUCAAACAAGAGGACUCUACUCCUAGAGAAUCAGUACUUUCGGUGUGGGCCUGUCUCCCAGUGCUUCUUAGAACAUUGAAGACACGCAGUUAUCUCUUGUCUCAUUUCCAUGUGUUGAAUAACUUUUCUUAAUACUCUACAAAAUAAAACAAAAAGUAGUUUCUAUACCUUAUCCCCAAGGUUCCUCUAGAAGAAAGAAAAUUAUCAAGGGCAGGUUGAGUCAUCAGAGCCUGAGGGAUACCCCUCCCUCCAUGUAAGCUGUCCCCAUGCAUAAUUAAGAAUCAUCCCCCUACAGUAGCCACCAUUUCAAAAGGCUGCAAAAGGUUUAGCGCUCAACCCCUCAAGCCCCUACCCAAAAAAUAAGUUUUAGAACCCAGGCAGGAUAGAGUUCAGGCUCCAGGACUAGGCCCACCCAGAUAAUCGAGGAUAAUUUCUCUAUUUUAAGAUUCUUAAUCAUAUCUGCAAAGUUGAUUUUGCUACAUGAGGCAGCAUAGUCACAGUUGCCAGGGAGGAGGCCGUGGACUUCUUGGAGGGGCGUGUUAUGGGACAGAGAUUCAGCAGUCCUUUGGCUGGGUGGUUCAUGAGCCUCCUGUGAGGCUACAGCCAAGAGUUCGGUUGGGCUGCAGUUAUCUAGGCUUUAAUGGGGCUCGGGGAUCUGCUCCAAAAGUCAGCCACUCACGUGGUGGACAAGUUAUCGCUGCUGCUGUUGGGGGCGGGGGCCUCAGUUCCUCUUCAUUGGGGCUGUCCAAAGGACUGCUUGGGUAUCAAGACAUGGCAGCUGGCUUUCCCCAGAGCAAGAGAUCCAUGAGACCAAAGUGGAAGCUGCAGUGUUUUUUAUUUUGACCUUUGCCUUGGGAGUCACAUGCUAUCACCACUUCAGUGGAAUCAUUGGUUACGCAGGUCAGCACUUAUUGCCUGUGGAAGGAUCAUGUGAGGCCAUGACCACUGGAAGGCAAGGAUCACUGGGCUGUUGUGGAGGCUGACUAUCCCUAAUGGGUGUUAUCUCUGGUUUUUUUUUUUUUUUUUUAAAGAUUUUAUUUAUUUAUUUGAGAGAGAGAGG
Molecule: long non-coding RNA, 1557 nt
Organism: Mustela erminea (ermine)
Lineage: Eukaryota; Metazoa; Chordata; Mammalia; Carnivora; Mustelidae
Exons: 3
Source: RefSeq, a predicted model, not a curated record